Molecule: long non-coding RNA, 471 nt
Filed under: Gallus gallus (chicken)
Lineage: Eukaryota; Metazoa; Chordata; Aves; Galliformes; Phasianidae
Description: long non-coding RNA NONGGAT006944
Source: RNAcentral
GUCUGUUUUGCCUUUUCUAAUCAGUGUUUAAUGAUUAACAGACGAGUAAGUGCGGUAUAAGGAGCGCUGCCUGCGUUGGAGCUGCCCGGGCUGACCACCAGAGCUUCAGGACAGCUUCUGCAUGCCCGGCUUCCCAUUCUUCCCAGGCACAAAUGGAUCCACCUUCUGCGUGCGCUGAAAUAGCUGAAGCCAAGCUCAUCUACCGCGCCCCUGUUGCCAGCCUGCAGAGCCCAUCCCCUGAGACAGCAGCAGUCACGUUCAGCGUCGCGGUGCCCAGCACAAACGUGUCCUGCCGUUGGAGGGACCCCCACUCUUGCAACACAGCCCUAUGCAGUGGCUCUCCAGCAGAGCGUUACGUUUGCCUUUGUGUUUUCCGUACCUCCAAGAAGGUCAGCAACAACCAGAAGGUGAUCCAGGGCUAGGAGGCAGCAGGGCAAGCUCACUUCCUUGGCUCUGUAGGUCACAGCUGGG